CAUGCAGUCGAGGGGCAGCAUCAUCAAAGCUUGCUUUGAUGGAUGGCGACCGGCGCACGGGUGAGUAACACGUAUCCAACCUGCCGACAACACUGGGAUAGCCUUUCGAAAGAAAGAUUAAUACCGGAUGGCAUAAUUAUUCCGCAUGGGAUAAUUAUUAAAGAAUUUCGGUUGUCGAUGGGGAUGCGUUCCAUUAGGCAGUUGGCGGGGUAACGGCCCACCAAACCUACGAUGGAUAGGGGUUCUGAGAGGAAGGUCCCCCACAUUGGAACUGAGACACGGUCCAAACUCCUACGGGAGGCAGCAGUGAGGAAUAUUGGUCAAUGGACGAGAGUCUGAACCAGCCAAGUAGCGUGAAGGAUGACUGCCCUAUGGGUUGUAAACUUCUUUUAUACGGGAAUAAAGUGAGCCACGUGUGGCUUUUUGUAUGUACCGUAUGAAUAAGGAUCGGCUAACUCCGUGCCAGCAGCCGCGGUAAUACGGAGGAUCCGAGCGUUAUCCGGAUUUAUUGGGUUUAAAGGGAGCGUAGGCGGGUUGUUAAGUCAGUUGUGAAAGUUUGCGGCUCAACCGUAAAAUUGCAGUUGAUACUGGCGACCUUGAGUGCAACAGAGGUAGGCGGAAUUCGUGGUGUAGCGGUGAAAUGCUUAGAUAUCACGAAGAACUCCGAUUGCGAAGGCAGCUUACUGGAUUGUAACUGACGCUGAUGCUCG
RNAcentral lists this ribosomal RNA (710 nucleotides) under uncultured bacterium. RNAcentral's name for it is "bacterial SSU rRNA". It matches the Rfam family "Bacterial small subunit ribosomal RNA", at positions 54 to 755 of the family's 1533-position model. The record is from RNAcentral.